This 759-nucleotide ribosomal RNA is filed under the name uncultured Leptotrichia sp. RNAcentral describes it as "bacterial SSU rRNA". It matches the Rfam family "Bacterial small subunit ribosomal RNA", at positions 66 to 842 of the family's 1533-position model. The record is from RNAcentral. Lineage: Bacteria; Fusobacteriati; Fusobacteriota; Fusobacteriia; Fusobacteriales; Leptotrichiaceae.
UUGGCGAAGCUGUGCUUGCACAGCCUAGCCAAGGCGGACGGGUGAGUAACGCGUAAGGAACUUGCCCUGCAGUCAGGGAUAACAGACGGAAACGACUGAUAAGACCUGGUAAAGUCAGGCGGACUCAUGUCCAGCCUGAUGAAAAGUGAUGCUGCAGGAGAGCCCUGCGUCCUAUUAGCUUGUUGGUGGGGUAACGGCCCACCAAGGCGAUGAUAGGUAGCCGGCCUGAGAGGGUGGACGGCCACAAGGGGACUGAGAUACGGCCCUUACUCCUACGGGAGGCAGCAGUGGGGAAUAUUGGACAAUGGGGGCAACCCUGAUCCAGCAAUUCUGUGUGCACGAUGAAGGUUUUCGGAUUGUAAAGUGCUUUCAGCAGGGAAGAAAAAAAUGACGGUACCUGCAGAAGAAGCGACGGCUAAAUACGUGCCAGCAGCCGCGGUAAUACGUAUGUCGCAAGCGUUAUCCGGAAUUAUUGGGCAUAAAGGGCAUCUAGGCGGCCAGAUAAGUCUGGGGUGAAAACUUGCGGCUCAACCGCAAGCCUGCCCUGGAAACUAUGUGGCUAGAGUACUGGAGAGGUGGACGGAACUGCACGAGUAGAGGUGAAAUUCGUAGAUAUGUGCAGGAAUGCCGAUGAUGAAGAUAGUUCACUGGACGGUAACUGACGCUGAAGUGCGAAAGCUAGGGGAGCAAACAGGAUUAGAUACCCUGGUAGUCCUAGCUGUAAACGAUGAUUACUGGGUGUGGGCAUGAAGAGUGUCC